GUAUCCAAAAUUGAUCACC
Molecule: unclassified non-coding RNA, 19 nt
Filed under: Mus musculus (house mouse)
Lineage: Eukaryota; Metazoa; Chordata; Mammalia; Rodentia; Muridae
Description: oocyte_clustered_small_RNA9637
Source: RNAcentral